UUUGGCAGUGGCCAGCAGCUGCCACGCUGAAGGCUGUCUGCAGGUAGCUCUCUGUAGGUGCUUUGCUCUUAGGGUUUGAGCUUGCCAGCUGUCUGAACCCUGUUAGAAAACUCUGCCUUGGAACCCUGUCUGCCCCUGACAAAGAUUAGUGUCAUUGGUAUUUACAAGAUCCAAUGGAUUUUGUUUUGUUUGGCAUGAGGAUUAGAAAGAAGAGCUAACUUAGGUAGAGAAGGCAGGAGCCAUCAUCAAAGAUAGAAAACCGUGGCGCUUAUCCUUGACCGGAAAUCUCUAAGGCUGACUCACCAGAGAAUUCAACACUGAUGUCUUCAUAGUAAAUACUUAGAUUCAAUCACCAACUGUGAAGCUGUUGUCGAAACUUCAAACUCUCAGGUCUAAAAUAAAACAUCAAGAUCUUUUUGUUUGAUAUGUGGAGGGCACAUGUCACUGGGUCUGGAAGCAGGCUUUGGAAGUUACUGUACCAAAUCUCGUCUAUUGUUCCUAUGUCUGUAGGAUUCUGGGGCACUCAACCUAUGGCAGGAGAGUGAAGUGAAACUCUUGGUUUCUGCCUCUUGAACUGGAUUUUAGGAAACUCGUUAUUGAUUCAAGGUGUGCAAUGGAACCCACAAAGAGAGAAGGAAGAGAAGAGCAAGGAAGAUGGGGAGGAGGAGGGGAAAGAAGGGGGAAGAAGGCCAGAAGGUGAUGCUGCCACUUGAGGAAGUUGAGGAAGAGCACAAAACUUCUACUCUAUUCCUCUCUCCUGAAAGGCUUGUCUAUCUAUAAACCAUGUUAGCUACAAUAACAACCUGCCUGGAAAGAUCUGCCCAUUGGUGCACUGAUGGAGUAACGAGCACGAGGAGAAAAUGUUCAUCAUGACAUCACUCAAGCAUUUUAAAAGAUUCAUGAAUUUGUCUCCAGAAGAGAUUCUUCCUUCCCAGUUACCCAUGCUCUCUAUAAAGAAAUACAAUAUGGAAGAUUUAUCCCAAGAAGCACAAGCUGGCAGUUUUUAAACAAAAUAAAGCUGUCAAACAUA
Long non-coding RNA from Rattus norvegicus (Norway rat), 1030 nucleotides. RefSeq lists it as uncharacterized. The record is from RefSeq and is a predicted model, not a curated record. Lineage: Eukaryota; Metazoa; Chordata; Mammalia; Rodentia; Muridae.